AGGAUUGAUCCUACAAAGGACACGAAAAGGUCCAAGGAACCUAGGAGCAAAUUUCAUGCUAGGGACUUUGAGCCUGAUGUUACGAGAAGAUAACCAAACCCUCUCACCCACUUGGUAAACAGGGUUGGCACCUCGAUGUUUAUCAGCAAAAUGCAUGAAACGGUCAUCAGCAGUACCCAGAGCAGAUUGAACUUUAACCCAGGUAUCACGGAUGGAAGCCAGAAGGUCAUCCAAAGCAGGAAUAGCCGUGUCAGAAAAAACUGCCGGUAGGACAGUAGGAUGCCGGCCAUUAUUAACAAAAAAUGGACUAUGCCCAGAGGAGGGUCAGCAUUGUUCCUAGCAAACCGGGCCAUGGUAAUAAUUCGGACCAAUUGUCUUGAAUGCUAUUAACGAAACAACGCAAGUAUAACUUCAAAGACUGGUUAACCCUCUCAGCUGUGCCAUUAGUGUGGGGGUGGUAAGAGGAUGAAAAAGACAAUUCAAUCCCCAAUUGCUUAUUGAAAGCCCUCCAAAACUGGGAUACAAACUGAGAACAUCUAUCAGAUACAAUAUUGUGAGGAAUGCCAUGCAGA
Pelobates cultripes (western spadefoot toad) is the source of this 572-nucleotide non-coding RNA. NCBI's taxonomy places the organism in Eukaryota, Metazoa, Chordata, Amphibia, Anura, Pelobatidae. The record is from the annotation of a GenBank genome assembly.